This is an RNA transcript of Pyrus x bretschneideri (Chinese white pear), 4228 nucleotides long. It is a transcript of the gene named bifunctional aspartokinase/homoserine dehydrogenase 1, chloroplastic-like, with no coding region annotated. The transcript is spliced from 8 exons. The record is from RefSeq and is a predicted model, not a curated record. Lineage: Eukaryota; Viridiplantae; Streptophyta; Magnoliopsida; Rosales; Rosaceae.
UUUGAUUGAAAUUUUUUUGUUGCUGUCUUUUAUAAUUAUUAAAGCUGAUUUGAACAUUUUUACAGUUUCUUUGAAGAUGCUUUAACUGUCUAUUAAAUUAGAGCAUUAGAAAAUAUUUGUGUACUCACUACGGAGUACCCAAUUUCCUGACCAAAUGACAUGGCCCUGUGAAAUGGGAACAGCUGUCCCUUUUAAUUCUAUAUUAAACUUUUGCUAUGUUGAGAACCAAACAGCCCUUUUUUCCUCCUAUUACCUUUGCCAUGUUAAAUAUGGACAAACCCUAUCCUCUUCCAACCUUGGUCAACCCCACCCCGUGACCUUGUCGGCUCCGGCAUCAUGUGCAAGCUUCAAGCUCACUCGCCAAGCCGACGUCGAUUCCUUAACCGAGAUAUCCCAAUCUGUAAUCCUCUCAAAUUUCGUCGACAUAGUCUCACUGCUGGGUGAAGUCAUCGGUGGGAGGAGGGUGGGUGGGCUUGGUGGUGGUGAGAGAGGACCGUGGCUUGGGAUAAUGGGAUGGAACGGAACUCAUGGAGGGCUAGUAAUUUGCUGAAUCGAAUCGUAUUAUUAUUCGAUUUUUAUUAAUCCAUCUAUUGUUAUUUGUAAAAUCUUCAAUUCACCUAUCUUUUAGUUUUUCAAUAACCCGUGUCUUUGAUGAAAGCCCAACUUAUUAGCUCCAACAUCAACAACUAUAUGUACCGAGGAACAGUCAGCCCCGACCACCAUUCCGAAUCGUCCAUCAGUCAGACCUCACCUCCAUUCCGGAUCGUCGGACAGUCAUUCGGGAUUGUCCAUCAGUCAGGUCCAACUGGCAAUCUGGAUCAUCUAUCAUUGAGACUGUAGAACUCCUGACUCCCCAUCAUCUCCAUGUUGCGCUGCGCUUCGGUGGCCUCCGCUAUGCUACAAUGCUCCGCCGGCCAUUUAUUGCUGGAGAAGCAGAACCCUACCUCCCUGCCUACAACCUUAAUUAGAGGGCCGCCUACCAUCUCUCCUGUCUCAAUCAUAGGAUCUUAGUAAAUCUCCUUUUACUUGAAUGUUGUUUUUCGUGGAAAUUAAGCUCAUUAUUAUUUACAAAUUUAGCUGUCAUAUAUUACCAUUUUUAAUUUGUUCAUAAAAAGUUAAAAACUGAUAUAUGAAAAUUUGUCAAGUUGGAUUUGGUUGAUGACAUGACAAAAACCAACUUUCCUCCAACAUUAAGCAUCUUUAUACCAUGAGAGUUAUAGGAAAACAAAAGAUCUUUGUCUCAAACUUUCUGUGCAAUCUUCAUAAUGCAAUCAAUGGACUUUAAUUCAACAAAGAGAACAAAUUGAACAUAGUAGCUAUCAUUCAAAGAAGUCGUCGGAUGUCCAAAAUUAUCAACGAUUUAAUAUAACAUUUUUUAUUAGUGGUUUUGUAACACUGUUUCUUAUUUAAUUUAACAUUGUUUCCAAUUCAUAUUAUUACUUUUUCAAAUCUGUCAACUUACUGUAUUUAUAUGUUUUUUUUUCUUUUUAGUAUCUGACAUUGUUAACAAGGUGGACAAUUUGAAAAGAAAAGUGGUUGCUGCAAGAGCAGGAAAUGUGUAUUAUUUGAAGUUAUGAGUUUUUAAAAUACUAAAGGAAAAUUUUUCUAAAGGCAAUGGUUGUCUUAAGGAGGUACUCAAUAAAGGAAUCCAUUAUGUAAAUCAGUUGGAGUGUCAUAAAAGUAUAGCCUUUAUGGUAAUGGGAUUUGAUGAUGAGAUUAGUCAUAUGUUUCAUCCUUGCUAUUCACAGGAAAAUGGUUCAUUUCCGAUAAGAAUAUUAGUGUAAAAGUCUAGGUUUUUUGCUAUUUAAUCAGGUGUGAUGUACGGAACACAGUAUGUCAAGUCUAAAUUGUGUAAACUAAGUUGUAUCGAUGUCAAAUCUACUUUAAAGUUAGCCGAAUGUGCACUUCCACUUACUUGCAUGAAUGAUCCAUCCACUGGUGGUCACAUUAAUUUAAAACCAGUUAUGUGACCUCAGUUAAUGGAUCAUUCAUGCAAGCAAGUAGAACUGCAUAUUCAGCUAACUUCAAAGUAGAUUUGACAUCGAUACGACUAAGUUUACACAAUUUAGACUUAACAUUCUGCAUUACGUACAUCGCACCUGAUCCAAUGGCAAAGAAACUAGAAUUUUCCACUAAUAUUCUAUUUAGAAGUGAAUCAUUUUCCUUUAAAUAGCAAAAAAGAUGAAACAUAUGACUAAUCCCAUUACUAUAAAAGUUAUACUUUCAUCACACUCCCAACUGAUUUACAUAAUAAAUUCCUUGAUUGAGUACCUCCUUAAGACAACCAUUGCCUUUAGAAAAAUUUGCCUUUGGUAUUUUAAAAACUCCCAACUUCAAAUAGUAAACAUUUCUUGCUCUUGCAAUAACCACUUUUCUUUUCAAAUAGUUCACCUUAUUAGCAAUGUCCGAUACUAAAAAGAGAAAAAAAAAACAUAUAAAUAUAGCAAGUUGAUAGAUUUAAAAAGUAAUAAUAUGAAUUGGAAACAAUGUUAAAUUAAAUAAGAAACAAUGUUACAAAACCACUAAAAAGAAUUGUUAUAUUAAACCGUUGAUAAUUUUGGAUAUCCAAUGACUUCUUUGAAUGAUGGCUACUAUCUUCAAUUAGUUCUCUUUGUUGAAUUAAAGUCUAUUGAUUCCGUUAUGAAGAUUGCACAGAAAGUUCGAGACAAAGAUCUUUUGUUUGCCUAUAACUCUGAUGGUAUAAAGAUGCUUAAUAUUGGAGGAAAGUUCGUUUUUAUCAUGCCAUCAACCAAAUCCAGCUUGGCAAACAUGAGGGGCUUUCUGCCAUCUAUAGAUUAUAGUUUUAAUGUUUAGUUUUAUGAAACAGACUUAAAAUUUUGUUUUUAAAACUGUGCUUUGUUAAUUUUGCUGGAAGUGUUUGUGAUUGAGUUUAAUUUACUGGUACUGUAACAUAAUGUAUUGCUGCCAUUUAAAACUAUUCUAAACUCUGAAUUUAUUGUCAAGUUGUACUUUUGGUUUGGUUGUGCACUUUUUCCCAUUAUAAUAAGGAAUGAUGUUGACCUUGCUGGACGUCGAACAAGACUAUGUUGGUCUAAUGAGGAUGAAACUGCUCAAGGUUUGGAGUCGUUUCUUAAAGCAUUUGCCAGAAUAGACUACUUGGCCCCUGUCAUGGUUUAAGGCCCGUGAUAUAUUCAGUGCCGUAAAGGAUGUUGGGGCUAAUGUUAUUAUGAUAUCUCAGGUUCAAGUCAUUCCAAACUGUAGUAUUUUGGCAGCAGUUGGCCAAAAAAUUGCCUGUACUCCAAGAGUUAGUGCAACUCUUUUCAAUGCACUGGCAAAGGCAAACAUUAAUGUGUGUGCAAUUGCUCAUGGUUGUACUGAGUACAAAAUUACUGUAGUGAUAAAGCAGGAGGAUUGUUUUAGGGCUCCGAGAGCAGUCCAUUUUAGAUUAUAUCUUUCAAGAACUGCAAUAGCAGUGGGCAAUAUCCGACCUGCUCUGAUUGGUGUCACAUUAUUCGAUCAGUUAAGGGAUCAGCAGCGGAAGUUGCUCCUUUCUACAGUCCGAAGUUGCUCCUUUCUACAGUCCAAUUAGUAUAUCUACGGUUGUUGACUUAUCUAGAUGGAGAGAACUCCGAAAAGAGAAAGGAGUUUUAGCAGAUAUGGAAAAGUUUGUGCAGCAUGUACAUGGGAAUCAUGUUAUUCCAAAUACUGUUUUGGUUGACCGCACAGCUGACUCUAUUCUUGCAAGUCAUUGCAAUGACCGGUUGUGGUCACGAAGUCACUCCUGACAAAAAGCUAGUUGGCUGAUCCUGGAUUCAGGGAAUUUGUGAGCCUAUGAGGGCAAAAAUAUCCUGUGAAGCUGAGUUUCUCCAUCCCAUCAUCAUGCGUUAGCAGGUUCACCCUAGAAAUUUCUCAACAGAAAAUUGUUGCUAGUACGUGAUGUUUAACCGUCAUUACGCCCAACCCUCCCGGAGUCAUUAGAUUUUUGUGGUCAUCAAGAGAAUACGUGUCAUCAGCUUGAAAGUAUAAUAUUUAUUUGGAAUUAUGCCCAGCAUUUCAGAUGGCGAUGUGAAUUGUCAUACCUCUUUGGUAGACUUCGUGACGGUUCUCUUGGGUUUCCGACUUUGGUAACUUGUAGAAUUGUGAUCCCAUCUAUGAAUGAAUGAUUUUGUAGAUGUGAAUCUUCCUUGCGAAUUUUGCUCUUCUAUUGUUUACCCUUGUGCUUUUGGUUUCUAUUUGUAUGGUAAUUUGUGGACAUUGUGCGUUGUUA